This 111-nucleotide ribosomal RNA is filed under the name uncultured bacterium. Its description in RNAcentral is "partial 16S ribosomal RNA". It matches the Rfam family "Bacterial small subunit ribosomal RNA", at positions 1372 to 1482 of the family's 1533-position model. The record is from RNAcentral.
CCCCGGGUCUUGUACACACCGCCCGUCACACCAUGGGAGCGGGAUGUACCAGAAGUAGGUAGGCUAACCGCAAGGGGGCCGCUUACCACGGUGCGUUUCGUGACUGGGGUG